CCAUAAAACAGGAAUCAAAUGAGGCCA
This 27-nucleotide non-coding RNA is filed under the name Homo sapiens (human). Lineage: Eukaryota; Metazoa; Chordata; Mammalia; Primates; Hominidae. The record is from RNAcentral.